This 31-nucleotide non-coding RNA is filed under the name Mus musculus (house mouse). Lineage: Eukaryota; Metazoa; Chordata; Mammalia; Rodentia; Muridae. The record is from RNAcentral.
UGAUGAUAAAAUUCAAGGUAAUUUUACAAAU